UGUCGCCAUGUUUUUCACAGUGCAAUGCAUUCUGGGUAAAUGACAUGUAAAGGUCCAACUGCCUGACUCCUCCAGCCAAAACAGUGAUGAGAAAUGUGAUUAAGCCUUUUUAAUUUGAACUGGAGUGCAUUGAAAAUGAUCGGAACAUAGAAAUCAGAAGAGGUGAUGAAAAUGAGGAGGAGCAAACAGAGGUAUUCGACAGAGUUGACCGUAGGAGCUGGUGUUUUGCUCCUGCCUUCAGUUUCAUAAUGAAACAAUGAAUGACACUUACCUCUGAAGGCAGCUGAGGCU
Molecule: long non-coding RNA, 291 nt
Organism: Poecilia latipinna (sailfin molly)
Lineage: Eukaryota; Metazoa; Chordata; Actinopteri; Cyprinodontiformes; Poeciliidae
Exons: 3
Source: RefSeq, a predicted model, not a curated record